This 1548-nucleotide ribosomal RNA is filed under the name uncultured prokaryote. Its description in RNAcentral is "partial 16S ribosomal RNA". It matches the Rfam family "Bacterial small subunit ribosomal RNA". The record is from RNAcentral.
AGAGUUUGAUCCUGGCUCAGAUUGAACGCUGGCGGCAGGCCUAACACAUGCAAGUCGAGCGGAAACGGCAGUAUUGAAGCUUCGGUGGAUUUACUGGACGUCGAGCGGCGGACGGGUGAGUAAUGCUUGGGAAUAUGCCUUAUGGUGGGGGACAACAGUUGGAAACGACUGCUAAUACCGCAUAACGUCGACGGACCAAAGGAGGGGGGACCUUCGGGCCUUGCACUAUUAGAUGAGCCUAUGUCGGAUUAGCUAGUUGGUAAGGUAAUGGCUUACCAAGGCGACGAUCCGUAGCUGGUUUGAGAGGACGAUCAGCCACACUGGGACUGAGACACGGCCCAGGCUCCUACGGGAGGCAGCAGUGGGGAAAAUUGCACAAUGGGCGAAAGCCUGAUGCAGCCAUGCCGCGUGUAUGAAGAAGGCCUUCGGGUUGUAAAGUACUUUCAGUCGUGAGGAAGGGUGUGUAGUUAAUAGCUGCAUGCCUUGACGUUAGCGACAGAAGAAGCACCGGCUAACUCCGUGCCAGCAGCCGCGGUAAUACGGAGGGUGCGAGCGUUAAUCGGAAUUACUGGGCGUAAAGCGCAUGCAGGCGGUCUGUUAAGCAAGAUGUGAAAGCCCGGGGCUCAACCUCGGAACAGCAUUUUGAACUGGCAGACUAGAGUCUUGUAGAGGGGGGUAGAAUUUCAGGUGUAGCGGUGAAAUGCGUAGAUAUCUGAAGGAACACCAGUGGCGAAGGCGGCUCUCUGGACCAACACUGACGCUGAGGUGCGAAAGUGUGGGUAGCGAACAGGAUUAGAUACCCUGGUAGUCCACACCGUAAACGAUGUCUACUAGCCGUUGGGUUCCUUGAGGACUUAGUGGCGCAGCUAACGCAUUAAGUAGACCGCCUGGGGAGUACGGCCGCAAGGUUAAAACUCAAAUGAAUUGACGGGGGCCCGCACAAGCGGUGGAGCAUGUGGUUUAAUUCGAUGCAACGCGAAGAACCUUACCUACUCUUGACAUCCACAGAACUUUCCAGAGAUGGAUUGGUGCCUUCGGGAACUGUGAGACAGGUGCUGCAUGGCUGUCGUCAGCUCGUGUUGUGAAAUGUUGGGUUAAGUCCCGCAACGAGCGCAACCCUUAUCCUUAUUUGCCAGCACGUAAUGGUGGGAACUCUAAGGAGACUGCCGGUGAUAAACCGGAGGAAGGUGGGGACGACGUCAAGUCAUCAUGGCCCUUACGACCAGGGCUACACACGUUCUACAAUGGUAAAUACAGAGGGACGCCAAGCCGCGAGGUGGAGCUAACCCCAGAAAAUUUAUCGUAGUCCGGAUUGGAGUCUGCAACUCGACUCCAUGAAGUCGGAAUCGCUAGUAAUCGCGAAUCAGAAUGUCGCGGUGAAUACGUUCCCGGGCCUUGUACACACCGCCCGUCACACCAUGGGAGUGGAUUGCACCAGAAGUAGGUAGCUUAACCUUCGGGAGAGCGCUUACCACGGUGUGGUUCAUGACUGGGGUGAAGUCGUAACAAGGUAGCCCUAGGGGAACCUGGGGCUGGAUCACCUCCUUA